AGCUUUUAUACCGCGAAACUGCGAAUGGCUCAUUAUAUAAGUUAUCGUUUACUUGAUAGCACAUUACUACUUGGAUAACCGUGGUAAUUCUAGAGCUAAUACAUGCUAAAAAUCCCGACUUCGGAAGGGAUGUAUUUAUUAGAUUAAAAACCAAUGCCCUUUGGGCUUACAGGUGAUUCAUGAUAACUUCUCGAAUCGCAUGGCCUUGCGCCGGCGAUGGUUCAUUCAAAUUUCUUCCCUAUCAACUUUCGAUGCGAAGGUAUUGUCUUCGCAUGGUUACAACGGGUAACGGAGGGUUAGGGCUCGACCCCGGAGAAGGAGCCUGAGAAACGGCUACUACAUCCAAGGAAGGCAGCAGGCGCGCAAAUUACCCAAUCCCGACACGGGGAGGUAGUGACAAUAAAUACUGAUACAGGGCUCUUUUGGGUCUUGUAAUUGGAAUGAGUACAAUUUAAAUCCCUUAACGAGGAACAAUUGGAGGGCAAGUCUGGUGCCAGCAGCCGCGGUAAUUCCAGCUCCAAUAGCGUAUAUUAAAGUUGGUGUGGUUAAAAAGCUCGUAGUUGAACCUUGGGCCUGGCUGGCCGGUCCCCCUCACCGGGUGCACUGAUCCAACCGGGCCUUUCCCUCUGUGGAACCCCAUGGCCUUCACUGGUCGUGGCGGGGAAACAGGACUUUUACUUUGAAAAAAUUAUAGUGCUCCAGGCAGGCCUUUGCUCGAAUACAUUAUCAUGGAAUUAUAAAAUACGACGCGUGGUUCUAUUUUGUGGGUUCUACGGACCGCCCUAAUUAUUAAUAGGACCAGUCUGGGGCCUCAUUAUUCAUUUGUCAAUGGCUAAAUUUUUGGAUCUUUUGAAGAACUACUCCUGCGAAAGUUCUUGCCAGGGAUGUUUUCUUGGUUAAGGACCCAAACUUUAUGGAUC
This 920-nucleotide ribosomal RNA is filed under the name Magnisphaera stevemossago. RNAcentral's name for it is "SSU rRNA". It matches the Rfam family "Eukaryotic small subunit ribosomal RNA", at positions 68 to 999 of the family's 1831-position model. Lineage: Eukaryota; Fungi; Ascomycota; Sordariomycetes; Microascales; Halosphaeriaceae. The record is from RNAcentral.